AAAGUGCGAUAAGUAAUGUGAAUUGCAGACCUUGUGAAUCAUCGAGUCUUUGAACGCAAGUUGCGCUAUCCUGUUGAGGGAUAGCAUGUUUGUAUGAGGGUUGUUAACCAACAACAGAUGGAAUGAGGCUUUUUCUUUACACAAGGGGAAUGCCUUGAAAUACAAAACCCAUGAUAAUGCAUUUGAUUUCUUAUCCACUUUUUAUUAGGUGGGGGGAAAACGGAAUAUGUCCAAACUAAAAACAUUUUAUGGUUUUUUCUUUCUUUUGAAGUAGUCUUCUUUUUAAGAGGAUGAAACAAGAGAAAGUUGAAUCAUAUUUGGAUGUCCUCUCCUUCUUUUAGAGGUGAGAUGACAAACACUUUUUAGUUUUAGUGUUCCAAUUCAUUUUAAAUGCAACCUC
RNAcentral lists this unclassified non-coding RNA (400 nucleotides) under uncultured fungus. RNAcentral's name for it is "sequence contains ITS1". The stretch from base 1 to 103 matches the Rfam family "5.8S ribosomal RNA", at positions 50 to 154 of the family's 154-position model. The record is from RNAcentral. Lineage: Eukaryota; Fungi.